GCAAGUCGAGCGCGAAAGUUCCUUCGGGGAUGAGUAGAGCGGCGCACGGGUGAGUAACACGUGAAUAAUCUACCUAUUAGCCUGGGAUAACUGUUGGAAACGACAGCUAAUACCGGAUAAGCUCACACUGUUCUUGGGCAGAGUGAGAAAAGGCGGCCUCUUCCUGAAAGCCGUCACUGAUAGAUGAGUUCGCGUCCCAUUAGUUAGUUGGUGAGGUAAUGGCUCACCAAGACUUCGAUGGGUAGCUGGUCUUAGAGGAUGAUC
Molecule: ribosomal RNA, 264 nt
Filed under: uncultured bacterium
Lineage: Bacteria
Description: partial 16S ribosomal RNA
Rfam family: Bacterial small subunit ribosomal RNA
Source: RNAcentral